UACAGAGGGGGCGAGCGUUGUUCGGAAUUACUGGGCGUAAAGGGCGCGUAGGCGGCCAACUAAGUCAGACGUGAAAUCCCUCGGCUCAACCGGGGAACUGCGUCUGAUACUGGAUGGCUUGAAUUCGGGAGAGGGAUGCGGAAUUCCAGGUGUAGCGGUGAAAUGCGUAGAUAUCUGGAGGAACACCUGUGGUGUAGACAGCUUACUGGACCAUUUCUGACGCUGAGACACGAAAGCGUGGGUAGCAAACAGG
Molecule: ribosomal RNA, 253 nt
Filed under: uncultured bacterium
Lineage: Bacteria
Description: partial 16S ribosomal RNA
Rfam family: Bacterial small subunit ribosomal RNA
Source: RNAcentral